UACGGGGGGAGCAAGCGUUGUUCGGAUUUACUGGGCGUAAAGGGCGCGUAGGCGGCCACCGCAAGUCGACUGUGAAAUCUCCGGGCUUAACCCGGAAAGGUCAGCCGAUACUGCGGGACUAGAGUGCAGAAGGGGCAACUGGAAUUCUCGGUGUAGCGGUGAAAUGCGUAGAUACUGGGAGGAACACCGGUGGCGAAGGCAGCCCCCUGGGCUAAGACUGACGCUGAGGCACGAAAGCGCGGGGAGCAAACAGG
RNAcentral lists this ribosomal RNA (254 nucleotides) under uncultured bacterium. RNAcentral describes it as "partial 16S ribosomal RNA". It matches the Rfam family "Bacterial small subunit ribosomal RNA", at positions 524 to 776 of the family's 1533-position model. The record is from RNAcentral.